RNAcentral lists this long non-coding RNA (2604 nucleotides) under Podarcis lilfordi (Lilford's wall lizard). Lineage: Eukaryota; Metazoa; Chordata; Lepidosauria; Squamata; Lacertidae. The record is from RNAcentral.
GAUUUCAGUAGAUGGAGGCGCAUCCCACACAAGUUCCUGUGUAUGAAGGGAACGCUGCAGCGCUCAACAGAAUCCAUUUGGCCCCAUCCUUCCCCCAAGCUACCCCACUCUGGGUAUCUCUCAUGUCGACCUCUCUUGCUAAGAUCUUAAAUUAUCCUUAUCCUUCUGAAAGCUAUACUUCUUAAUGGUGAUCGUUUGCAUUUUUACAACUGAUUGAACCGUACAGAAUACAGUUCUCAACAGCUAUUAAGGGAAGUCCUUCUUUGCUUGGCAAAUGCUUAUUGAGUUGAGGAACAAAGCUGUGAGCCUAUUAUGUGAAACUGUAAUGCGAGAUCCAUUGUUUGAAGGUUUACUGUUGUCCUUUCUCUCUUUUUUCUUUCCUCCCCCCCCCCCCUUUUUGCCUGAGCAGGAUGUGAAUAUCUCUGGUGGAUGGAGGUUAGCUAAGUAAGUCAUGCAUAGAUGGAAUUUAUUAAGUUUGCACGGUAGUGACAGCUGUGAGUGGGAACAGUAACUCCAAGUGUGCCAAGGGCUUGAAGAGAAAGAAUUUUCAUAUGUGUGUCUUAAAGGAAAACUGCAGCGUAAUUACGAAAGCUGUCCUAACCACUGCAUCCAAUUACAGAGGGAAUUCGCUAAAUAUGAUUUUAAAAUUGUAAUAAUUUGACAGAAGGCUGCCAUUUUGAGUCUCAGGAGGCAGAUUAGGACAGAGGAAAGUCAAGUUUCAUUAAGAACCACUGGAAAUCAGACAAUUUAAGGUAAAUUCAUUUAAUUAGAGAUACAUAUAGCACUGUCUGUAUAAUCAAAUAGCUGCUUUAAGAACUCUGUUAAAGGAACUAAUGUGGAUUCUUUUGAAUAUGGGAUUUCCCACGUAAUACUUUUGAAAUGUAGUCUUGUAGCAGAAAUGUUCCUCCUCCUUAAUAUACUCUGCCUCUCACGAUGACAGUGACUCUGACAGGAAUAUCAUUUUAAAGUAUGUUUUCCUUUAGUAAAAGGAUGGUUCUGUCCAUGAGGUUUGAUCCAACAAAACAGACAGAUAAAGUUCAUCUCCUACUUUAGGACGCUCUUAACCAGCCUACGAAGGCUUUUCCUCCAGCCUCUUGCUCUUCGCUGAUGUAACUAAGAGCAUGUACAGCUAGGAGACAAAGUGCCUUAUGCUAGCGUGAUUCUUCCUUUGACUUGUGCAUAUUUAUUAGAAUGUGUGUAGAAUGUUUGCAACAGGGGGCGGGUCGGACAAUAGCAAUCUGAACUGAGAAGACCGCCAGGCAAAAGGCCACACACCACGAUGAACGUGGAUGCCUGCUGGAACAAUGAUGUAUAGGAGCUAAAGUUGAGGUGGGCUGAGAGGGAGGGCAGGAAUACAGGGGGUCUCUGUUUCUGUAGCAAUGCAGCUACAUCAGGCAUAUGCAAACUUGGCCCGCCAGAUGUUUUGGGAUUACAAUUCCCAUCAUCCCUGAACCCUGGUCCUGUUAGCUGGGGAUGAUGGGAGUUGUAGUCUGAAAACAUCUGGAGGGCCAAGUCUGCCUAUGCCUGAGCUACAUCCUCUCCUGUUUGGGGGGUGGGGAAUGGAGAGGAGACGGGGUUUCUGUCAAGCAUAUGGCCAAAUCAUCAUCAGCCAGCCACUGGCAAAGGAGGACCAGCCCAAAGGUUCCAUAGCGAUGCAGAGGAAGAGAAAAUUGAAGGCGGAAGAGAGAUAAGAUAGAGGGGAUAAUGCAAGGGUCAGCAAACUUUUUCAGCAGAGGGCUGGUCCACUGUCCCUCAUACCUUGUGUGGGGCAGGACUAUAUUUUGAAAAAACAACAACGAGUGAAUUCCUAUGCCCCACAAAUAACCCAGAGAUGGGCACGUUCUACUCAUGUAAAACCAUGCUGAUUCCUGGACCAGAUUUAGAAGGCAAUUGGGCCAGAUCCAGUCCCCAGGCCUUAGUUUGCCUACCCAUGGGAUAACAGAUCCUGUAGACCCUUGCUUCUCACAUCUGAGACCCAAGCUAAGGUGGCAGCAGUGCAGGACACCCAUCAGUCCUUUCCUGCCAUAAUCAUUCCUGAUUAUGAGUAGAGUGUCCUCUGCACCUAUAGCUCUAUAGACUUUUGACACCCAUUAGCAUAGGUUGGGCAGGGAGUCUGCUGUUUCAGAGUCCUUCUUUUGCACACCUUCAUGCAGCCAUCUUGAUGAAGCUGCCCCUCUCUUGAAGGAGCAGGAAACAAAACUGCAACCCACUGUGAAGAGGAAAAGGGGUCAGUGGGCAGGGGGAGAAGGGCUAGUAAUGAGGCACAGCAGAGUUAUCUUAGAUGGCUGAAUCAUGGGACUUUUAUCAGAGCAGGAGUGAUGACAUCAUCUGCCAGAGUAUAAUUGAUGGACACUCCUUGUUCUGGCAAGCAACUGAGGUGAUAAUGAGGCUUUCACAUUUGUUUGUGAGAACAUAGAGGGAGUCAUAGAAGAAGAAAAAUAAGCAGAGGCUGGAUACUUCUUUCCUUUUGUUUGAUGGCAUUCUUACUUCAUUCUAGCAGUUUAAAUGAUAACGCUUCCUUGCAAGACUGUUUUUAUUUCAUCUGACUGAAAAUCUUUCGUGUUUUCCAAGUUAAACCUAUACAACUGGAAGUAAGCACCACUG